AUGUUGAUGUGUGCUCCGGAUCUCCCUCCUUCCCCUACUUCAACACCACCCAGGAAGCCGACAGCCCGCCGGAAAACUCUCGCUGGCGUGAAGAUCUCCAAGGUGAGUGGCCUCUCCCUGCAGAGGAUCAGGCGCCCUGUUGUCCUCGCAGCAACGACGUCGGCGGCACAGGCGGCUGAGCAGUUUAUUGGCCGCAGCCUGGGCAUCAUCAAGAACGGGCAGGACGUCACCACUGCCACCCUGGAUGCCUUCGCUGUAAAGUUCAAAGAGCAGCUUCCUCCUGAUGUAAUUGUGGCCAUGAGAGAGUUCUUUGAGCUAGACAAUGGGGCUGUUACAGCGGUGGAAGAUGCUCUGAUCGAGCAUGGUGGAGCAGGGGUCCUCAACACUGUGGGAGCAGAUGUUGCCGCGGGCUCGCUGGAUGUGAACGCCUGA
RNAcentral lists this ribosomal RNA (432 nucleotides) under Triticum aestivum (bread wheat). Its description in RNAcentral is "partial small subunit ribosomal RNA". The record is from RNAcentral. Lineage: Eukaryota; Viridiplantae; Streptophyta; Magnoliopsida; Poales; Poaceae.